GACGAACGCUGGCGGCACGCCUAACACAUGCAAGUCGAACGCCCUCUUCGGAGGGAGUGGCGGACGGGUGAGUAACGCGUGGGAACCUGCCCUUUGGUACGGGACAACCGAUGGAAACGUCGGCUGAUACCGCAUGAGCCCGCUGGCUUUGGAGGCUGGUGGGAAAGAUUUAUCGCCAUGGGAUGGGCCCGCGUUGGAUUAGCUAGUUGGUGGGGUAACGGCGUCACCAAGGCGACGAUCCAUAGCUGGUCUGAGAGGACGAUCAGCCACACUGGGACUGAGACACGGCCCAGACUCUACGGGAGGCAGCAGUGGGGAAUCUUGGACAAUGGGGGCAACCCGUGAUCCAGCGAUGCCGCGUGAGCGAAGAAGGCCUUAGGGUUGUAAAGCUCUUCGCCCACGACGAUGAUGACGGUAGUGGGAGAAGAA
RNAcentral lists this ribosomal RNA (429 nucleotides) under uncultured bacterium. RNAcentral's name for it is "bacterial SSU rRNA". It matches the Rfam family "Bacterial small subunit ribosomal RNA", at positions 28 to 489 of the family's 1533-position model. The record is from RNAcentral.